RNAcentral lists this ribosomal RNA (859 nucleotides) under Clostridium perfringens. RNAcentral's name for it is "partial 23S ribosomal RNA". It matches the Rfam family "Bacterial large subunit ribosomal RNA", at positions 335 to 1193 of the family's 2925-position model. The record is from RNAcentral. Lineage: Bacteria; Bacillati; Bacillota; Clostridia; Eubacteriales; Clostridiaceae.
GAAGAGAACUGGAAAGUUCCACCGUAGAAGGUAAUAGUCCUGUAAGUGAAACGAGAAGACCACGAGUUAUGAUCCAGAGUACCACGAGACACGUGAAACCUUGUGGGAAGCAGGGAGGACCACCUCCCAAGGCUAAAUACUACCUGAUGACCGAUAGUGAAGCAGUACCGUGAGGGAAAGGUGAAAAGAACCCCGGGAGGGGAGUGAAAUAGAACCUGAAACCGUGUGCCUACAACCGCUCAGAGCCCCUUAUGAGGGUGAUGAGGUGCUUUUUGUAGAACGAGCCAACGAGUUACGGUAUGUAGCAAGGUUAAGUACUUAAGGUACGGAGCCGAAGGGAAACCGAGUCUGAAUAGGGCGACUAGUUGCAUGCCGUAGACCCGAAACCGGGUGACCUAUCCAUGGCCAGGUUGAAGCGAGGGUAAAACCUCGUGGAGGACCGAACCACGUUGCUGUUGAAAAAGCAUGGGAUGAGCUGUGGAUAGCGGAGAAAUUCCAAUCGAACCCGGAGAUAGCUGGUUCUCUCCGAAAUAGCUUUAGGGCUAGCGUCGAGUAUGAGUAGUGGAGGUAGAGCACUGAAUGGGCUAGGGGGCAUAGCGCUUACCGAACCUUAUCAAACUCCGAAUGCCACAUACUUUGAGCUCGGCAGUCAGACUACGAAUGAUAAGAUCCGUGGUCAAAAGGGAAACAGCCCAGAUCGUCAGCUAAGGUCCCAAAGUGUAAGUUAAGUGGGAAAGGAUGUGAGAUUUCUAAGACAACUAGGAUGUUGGCUUAGAAGCAGCCAUUCAUUAAAAGAGUGCGUAAUAGCUCACUAGUCGAGAGAUCUUGCGCCGAAAAUGUAACGGGGCUAAACUUACCA